UUGACAAAUCCUACCCUACA
RNAcentral lists this unclassified non-coding RNA (20 nucleotides) under Mus musculus (house mouse). Its description in RNAcentral is "oocyte_clustered_small_RNA8662". Lineage: Eukaryota; Metazoa; Chordata; Mammalia; Rodentia; Muridae. The record is from RNAcentral.